Gadus macrocephalus (Pacific cod) is the source of this 2255-nucleotide long non-coding RNA. RefSeq lists it as uncharacterized. The record is from RefSeq and is a predicted model, not a curated record. NCBI's taxonomy places the organism in Eukaryota, Metazoa, Chordata, Actinopteri, Gadiformes, Gadidae. The transcript is spliced from 2 exons.
UCAUUUCAGGGAGGAGGGCAGAGAGAUUGCAAGAGGAACUCUACCACCUAUCUUCAGUAUCUCGAGGAAGCGCAAAGUGUCCGAAACGGAGGAGACAUAAUAUUUGUAAUUUCUUUAUGUCUUUAUUUUUUAUUGGUUUGUUUGUAGAGAAGAGCAGAAAAUAAAUUUGAUAAUGUAUACCAAUCCCAAGAAACAUAUUAUUUGAAUCGAAAUGAAAUCAUAUAUUGAUGGUUAUUAAGCAAACAAUAUACACUGUAAGAAAAUAAAAUGCAGACUUCACAUUUAAGAAAGACUACUGGGGGAAGUUAAUUUCUAAAUCAACAUAAGUUGAGCCUCUUUUUUUCACAUGUGAAUUGGGAUUCUCACUGUUGGCCCAACCUCAUUGAAAUCAAUACGACAAGAACGCAUUGGAGCGCUUGUUGUUGGGGAUACUAAAUCAUCAAAAUCAUAUAAACAUUUGUUUUGUACUCCAGGGUGACAACGAAGUGUAAAACAAUGUGCCAUUUCCUAUUUAUUCUAUCAGUUUCAGUGUGGAGAAACUGUUCCUAAGAGGCUGAGCUUACAGGAAGGGUUACAGCAAUCUUGCACAGUCUAAAGAGUGUAAGGGAAACUUCCCUGUUCUAGUGUUCUUUCCUCAUUUCAUGACAGCUGCUAUAACCUCAGAUGAACCUCACACCCAGAGGUCCACGGUGCAAUGUUUUUUUUCACCACUGGGAUGCUGACGGCGUUACCCGCCUAUAUUUUUUUCCCCUUGGCGGCCCUCAGUCAAAUUUUGGGUUCCUAAAUUGGCCCUCAGCUGUCAAAACUUUGAGAACCCCUGUUGUAGACCAACUUCGGAAAACUGUAGUUCCACCGUAGAAACGCUAGAGGUCAGCAAUUCUCUCGUCGCUCAAUGACGUCGGUUAGGAAAAGUGGGGUCGAAUUCAUUUUAAACAGCGCUGUCUUUUCCUAUGUUCGAAAGGAAGCACAUUUUCAUCUCUCCUUGACCCUAUGACGUUUUCCACAAAGGUUAAGUAAAGGAUAGGAGAUUUGACUAUUCUUAGAGGAAUUGGGACACGGCUAAGUAGUCUCACUGCGUCCGCCAUCUUGUCGUCACGUGACAGCACUUGGACGUUGGAUGUCCAUGUCCUACAGGCUGCAGCGAGACCUAUGGUUUCGAUCUAUCCGGUUUCGGAGUACCUCCGUAAAGACUGAGUCAAGCGAAACCGGGUAGAUCUGUAGAAACGCUGUAGUACACAUUCCAGGCCCAUAAGGGGCGCUGCUUCUGCUACAGAAAUCCAGAAGAAAAAUAUAUAAGAAGAAGAGGCGACCAUGCGCAUAAAGGGUGACCGCGGGCUUAACAGUCAUUGGCUAGAGGGUCGAGGGGUGGGGCGAUGACGUCAUGGUUUACGGUUUCAGUCGAUUUCAGGCAUCCACACGAUUCCAAAACGAAACUGGGUCGAUUUGAAACCACCUCUGAGGGUGGUUUCAGAAGUUUACGGUUUCGGUCAGUGGAUUCGCCGGCUUCUUGUGGACGGAAGGUCAAACCGUACAAGACCUUUGCGGUUUCGCCAUGAAAUAGGCUUCGUGUGGACGGGGCCUAUGUUUAGCCUCUUUGGUUUAAGGGGUGCCCCCGGGGGCGGGGGCACCGCUACUUCAUGCCACCCACACAACUAUAUGUCAUAUGAAAGCUGAGGCUCCACAUAUUCCAAUGAUAUCACUCUCAUCACUCUACGACGAAAACUCACUGAACUAGAAGAGCGGCGCCAAAGAAGAGCAAAACAAAUAAACAAAUACUUUUGAUUGGCGAAUGCUGCUAUCAUUGCUGUAACACGGGGAAUUGGUUAGCCUAGCGAUUGUUGUACUAGUUCUAUGAACAUCCUUACUGUACCGACAGCGAUAUAUUGUUGCACUUCUUAUGACAAAUGUUUGUCUUUGGAUAAAAGCGUCUGCUAAAUGCCCUAAAUGUAAAUGAAGGCGAAAAUUGAAAAUUUACAUUUCUUACUAUUAUCUAACUGAAUUUACUCUGACAUAGUAACAUCUAUGUUGAUUCUAACACUUCUGCAGCCACCUCACAGAUGUUACCUUCUUUUUGAAACCAACUUUAUUCAUGUAGCACCUUGUAGUUGUGGAGGCAUACUCUAUUCAUUUUGGGCAUGUCAUUUCGGGCAGGAGGCCUGUGAAAUAGGCCUAGGGCUUAACAGGCUCCCUAUUCUUUAGAAGACUACUCUUUCACAACUUUUGUUUUUGUGAGUUUCUAUUGUAUUCUUUUUAAA